UACGGGGGGAGCAAGCGUUGUUCGGAUUUACUGGGCGUAAAGGGCGCGUAGGCGGCCAGCCGAAGUCAGUUGUGAAAUCUCCGAGCUUAACUCGGAAAGGUCAACUGAUACUGUGCGGCUAGAGUGCGGAAGGGGCAACUGGAAUUCUUGGUGUAGCGGUGAAAUGCGUAGAUAUCAAGAGGAACACCUGCGGCGAAGGCGGGUUGCUGGGCCGACACUGACGCUGAGGCGCGAAAGCAUGGGGAGCGAACAGG
This 254-nucleotide ribosomal RNA is filed under the name uncultured bacterium. Its description in RNAcentral is "partial 16S ribosomal RNA". It matches the Rfam family "Bacterial small subunit ribosomal RNA", at positions 524 to 776 of the family's 1533-position model. The record is from RNAcentral.